Non-coding RNA from Chiloscyllium plagiosum (whitespotted bambooshark), 779 nucleotides. The record is from RefSeq and is a predicted model, not a curated record. Lineage: Eukaryota; Metazoa; Chordata; Chondrichthyes; Orectolobiformes; Hemiscylliidae.
UAAUGUUUUGUAGCUGAGUUCAUAUCAGUGUUCAGCAGCUGUGGCUUUACACAGUGUGCAAUGGCUGAUUCGCUUUCCACUCGAGUCAGCAACAAGUGGGUCAAGUGCCAAUAGUUACAUGACUGCGAGGGUAAAAGUCAGUUCCAAAUUCCCGUGAUAACAUCGUCAUCCACUCAACAAUUGUUUUUAGGAGAGAGUUGAAGCGGGCACUUCCAUAGUUAUGAUGCCUGGCGAUAGAGUCCUCAGGGUAGAGGGUGGAUCUGAAGUUAAUAUUUCCUCUGAAUUGAUUCCCAAGGCAUCUGGGUCAUUAAUGAUUUGCAGAGAUUAAGGGGUACAUCAGCAUAUCAACCCCGCCAUCCUUACAGAAUUUGAGGUGGUUGCCAUUUGUGAUUUGUGCUGAAAUAUCACAGGAUGACUUGAAACAGGCAUUAUUAUUGAGGAAACCGAUUCAUCGAUGUGUGAAACUGAUCAUUCCAUGAGGCAAAAAUGGCAAACUUAAUGCAACAAUAGCAGUCAACAAAGCAGUGAUUUACAAUCUGCAUCAACUUCCUCGGAUCCAGGAACUAUUGGCAUAAAUUUAGGACUCCACAGUCUUCAAGAAUUGGCAUAUACAAUAGAAUUAUCUUCCGAUACAACUAGCAGAACAAAGCCAAUGUUUGGCAGCUUCUGUACUCAUAUAAUGGUGCUUGCAGUGUCCCAGAGUGCCCUAUGAAUUAAGAUCUGCCCUAACUGGUUUCCAGUAGAUCAUUUGUUCAGUUUUGGUAGACACUGAGGGAAUG